CUGCAACAGACAGGAAAUAUGUUUCUUUUAUCCAGAAGAUGUGUUGAUGAUGAAUACAUCCGAGGUUGGCAUCGUAUCCACAUAGAAAUGUAAGUGGUGGUAAAAGCACCUUUUUAGAUAGAAGAUGUUAUAGGAAUGCGGUUAAUAAUGUA
This 152-nucleotide long non-coding RNA is filed under the name Bos indicus x Bos taurus (hybrid cattle). RNAcentral describes it as "lncRNA (ENSBIXG00005004259.1)". Lineage: Eukaryota; Metazoa; Chordata; Mammalia; Artiodactyla; Bovidae. The record is from RNAcentral.